Molecule: non-coding RNA, 69 nt
Organism: Micromonospora echinospora
Lineage: Bacteria; Bacillati; Actinomycetota; Actinomycetes; Micromonosporales; Micromonosporaceae
Source: Rfam
CUUCACCGACCCGAGCAACAGCGGCUCGUUCCGGUCCUGGCCGUAGGUGGCGAGCAGAGCCUGCGCCUC